This 215-nucleotide long non-coding RNA is filed under the name Mytilus galloprovincialis (Mediterranean mussel). Lineage: Eukaryota; Metazoa; Mollusca; Bivalvia; Mytilida; Mytilidae. The record is from RNAcentral.
GGUGUUUCCAGUCGUGUCCGUGCAUUUUCUCAUGAACCAUUCAACCAAAGCUUUUCAAAUUUUAAUAUGUUGAUACUGAUGACAAAAUGGAGGUCUAAUUUGAUAUUGACGAUUUUCACUUUCACCAUUCAUCAGUAAUGGUUCUUGUGAUAUUGCCAGGACACAAAUAAAUAUUAAUAAAUCCGGUUUGCUGUCGUUGUGACAGCCUCUUGUUU